UGCGGAGCUACCAUGCAGUCGUACGAGAAGGUUCCUUCGGGAACUGGAGAGUGGCGCACGGGUGAGUAACGCGUGGGGACCUACCUUUUAGUGGGGGAUAACGGUUGGAAACGACCGCUAAUACCGCAUACGCCCUUCGGGGGAAAGAUUUAUCGCUAAAAGAUGGACCCGCGUUGGAUUAGAUAGUUGGUGAGGUAACGGCUCACCAAGUCAGCGAUCCAUAGCUGGUUUGAGAGGAUGAUCAGCCACACUGGGACUGAGACACGGCCCAGACUCCUACGGGAGGCAGCAGUGGGGAAUAUUGGACAAUGGGCGCAAGCCUGAUCCAGCCAUGCCGCGUGAGUGAAGAAGGCCUUCGGGUUGUAAAGCUCUUUCAGAUGCGAAGAUGAUGACGGUAACAUCAGAAGAAGCCCCGGCUAAUUUCGUGCCAGCAGCCGCGGUAA
Molecule: ribosomal RNA, 443 nt
Filed under: uncultured Thalassospira sp.
Lineage: Bacteria; Pseudomonadati; Pseudomonadota; Alphaproteobacteria; Rhodospirillales; Thalassospiraceae
Description: bacterial SSU rRNA
Rfam family: Bacterial small subunit ribosomal RNA
Source: RNAcentral